AAGUUAAACAUAGGUUUACCAAAUCACCCUCAAUUUCAUUCCAAGGUAUAUACCUAAAAUAACGGAAAUGAUAUAAACUGCUAUAACAUUCGUAGAGAGCAGAUCAGAAAUAGUUGUCAUAACUUUAAAUGUGCAUAUCCUUCGACCCAUAAAUUUCACUUCUAAGAAUGUAUUCUAAUGAAAUAUAUUAAGGCAAGAGUGCAAAAUAUGUGUCUAAUAUAUUCCCUGAAGUGUCAUUUAGUAAAUUUGGAAAUAAAGUAAAAUAUCUAGCAAUAGGAAAUCAGUUAUGGCAUAAUUUCUAUCAGUCAGUGCAACACUUAGUACCUCUUUAAGAGGAUAUUGUGUUGCUGGGCUUUUUUUUUCCUGUAGUUUUUUUCCUGUCUUGUGGGGAUGAACAGCCUAGGGCAAACAUCUUUCUUAUGCACCUCUGGGCCCAAUUCCCAGAAGACGGACUGUGUAUUUGAAGCAAAGGAGGAGAAUGCGUGAUGUUUGCAAAUUCUUUUUUGACCGUUCCUCUGUGUUGGGGUGAGGCUGAGUUGCUUUUUAUGUGUCUAUCUGAGCGCUGGGGGAAGAAAGAUGCCCCUCCGUGUCCUAAAUGAGAAGAGAACUGUGAUCAGGAGUGGACGAGGUUCACAAUUUCAGCCUGGAGGAAGCGAGCAUUUGCUACUUUACAAAAGAAGAAACAAGACUAUUUUGUUGAAGUGUGCCAAUGUGAAAGGGUUAGUUAGUUAUUAUUGGUCUGAAUACGUGGACUUUGGAGCCUGGCAGGUCAACAAUGACACGCAGAAAAGCACACAACACAAGGGUGACUGCAGAUUGCUGGGCAGAGGGCGUUUACUUUCUGGUCCACUGAAUACCCCGCUCUGGAUGCUAGCGGCCAAGUUUCCUCCUGUGUUAUGUGGGAGGAAAAAGGAUGUCAGAAACUUGUCUGCUAAAGGAAGAGUGUUAUGGGCUGAAUUAUAUCACGCUAAAAUUCGUACGUGGGAGCCCUAACUCAUAGUACCUCAGAAUGUGUGACUGGAUGAGAUAGGGUCUUUAAAGGGUGAUUAAAUGAAGGUGAGGCCAUUAGGGUGGGCUUUAAUCCAAUCUGAUUGGUGUUGUUAUAAGAAGAGGAAGUAAGACUCACUGAGAGACCCCAGGAAUGUGCACACACAGAGAAGAGACCAUGUGAGGACACAGCCAGAAGGCAGCCAAGGAGAGAGGUCUCAGAAGAAACUAAACUCGUCGGCACCUUGAUCUUAGACUUCUAGCUUCCAGAACUUGGGAGAAAAUAAGUGUCUGUUGUUUAAGCUGCCCUGUCUGCUAUUUUGUUAUGGUAGCCCAGCAAAUGAAUACAAGAAUACUCAUGAUUUUAAGUUUC
Molecule: long non-coding RNA, 1360 nt
Organism: Felis catus (domestic cat)
Lineage: Eukaryota; Metazoa; Chordata; Mammalia; Carnivora; Felidae
Exons: 2
Source: RefSeq, a predicted model, not a curated record